GGGGAACGAUAACGGCGUCGAGCGGCGGACGGGUGAGUAAUGCCUGGGAAAUUGCCCUGAUGUGGGGGAUAACCAUUGGAAACGAUGGCUAAUACCGCAUAAUAGCUUCGGCUCAAAGAGGGGGACCUUCGGGCCUCUCGCGUCAGGAUAUGCCCAGGUGGGAUUAGCUAGUUGGUGAGGUAAGGGCUCACCAAGGCGACGAUCCCUAGCUGGUCUGAGAGGAUGAUCAGCCACACUGGAACUGAGACACGGUCCAGACUCCUACGGGAGGCAGCAGUGGGGAAUAUUGCACAAUGGGCGCAAGCCUGAUGCAGCCAUGCCGCGUGUAUGAAGAAGGCCUUCGGGUUGUAAAGUACUUUCAGCAGUGAGGAAGGUGGUGUGCUUAAUACGCACAUCAUUUGACGUUAGCUGCAGAAGAAGCACCGGCUAACUCCGUGCCAGCAGCCGCGGUAAUACGGAGGGUGCGAGCGUUAAUCGGAAUUACUGGGCGUAAAGCGCA
RNAcentral lists this ribosomal RNA (499 nucleotides) under Vibrio caribbeanicus ATCC BAA-2122. Its description in RNAcentral is "bacterial SSU rRNA". It matches the Rfam family "Bacterial small subunit ribosomal RNA", at positions 69 to 569 of the family's 1533-position model. The record is from RNAcentral. Lineage: Bacteria; Pseudomonadati; Pseudomonadota; Gammaproteobacteria; Vibrionales; Vibrionaceae.